AAUAAAUGCAGCCAUGAGUUUCCGCGUCUAACUUUGAUAGUCCGUCUUAUUUAAAUUUUUUUUUAUAAUUAGUAUUUUUAUUGUUAUAAGAUGAUAAAACAUAAAUAGUACUUUACUCGUGACUUAUGUUUUUAAUUUUUUUAAUUUUUUUUAAAUAAGACAAAUGGUCAAAGUUGGAUGCGGAAAACCAUGGCUGCACUUAUU
Non-coding RNA from Oryza glumipatula, 204 nucleotides. NCBI's taxonomy places the organism in Eukaryota, Viridiplantae, Streptophyta, Magnoliopsida, Poales, Poaceae. The record is from Rfam.